RNAcentral lists this ribosomal RNA (644 nucleotides) under uncultured Chromohalobacter sp. Its description in RNAcentral is "bacterial SSU rRNA". It matches the Rfam family "Bacterial small subunit ribosomal RNA", at positions 338 to 974 of the family's 1533-position model. The record is from RNAcentral. Lineage: Bacteria; Pseudomonadati; Pseudomonadota; Gammaproteobacteria; Oceanospirillales; Halomonadaceae.
CCUACGGGAGGCAGCAGUGGGGAAUAUUGGACAAUGGGCGAAAGCCUGAUCCAGCCAUGCCGCGUGUGUGAAGAAGGCUUUCGGGUUGUAAAGCACUUUCAGCGAGGAAGAAGGCUUGUCGGCCAAUACCCGGCAAGAGCGACAUCACUCGCAGAAGAAGCACCGGCUAACUCCGUGCCAGCAGCCGCGGUAAUACGGAGGGUGCAAGCGUUAAUCGGAAUUACUGGGCGUAAAGCGCGCGUAGGCGGCGUGUCACGCCGGGUGUGAAAGCCCCGGGCUCAACCUGGGAACGGCAUCCGGAACGGGCAGGCUAGAGUGCAGGAGAGGAAGGUAGAAUUCCCGGUGUAGCGGUGAAAUGCGUAGAGAUCGGGAGGAAUACCAGUGGCAAAGGCGGCCUUCUGGACUGACACUGACGCUGAGGUGCGAAAGCGUGGGUAGCAAACAGGAUUAGAUACCCUGGUAGUCCACGCCGUAAACGAUGUCGACUAGCCGUUGGGUCCCUUGAGGACUUAGUGGCGCAGUUAACGCGAUAAGUCGACCGCCUGGGGAGUACGGCCGCAAGGUUAAAACUCAAAUGAAUUGACGGGGGCCCGCACAAGCGGUGGAGCAUGUGGUUUAAUUCGAUGCAACGCGAAGAACCUUAC